CCUACGGGAGUCAGCAGUGAGGAAUAUUGGUCAAUGGACGAGAGUCUGAACCAGCCAAGUAGCGUGAAGGAUGACUGCCCUAUGGGUUGUAAACUUCUUUUAUAUGGGAAUAAAAUGUUCCACGUGUGGGUUUUUGUAUGUACCAUAUGAAUAAGGAUCGGCUAACUCCGUGCCAGCAGCCGCGGUAAUACGGAGGAUCCGAGCGUUAUCCGGAUUUAUUGGGUUUAAAGGGAGCGUAGGUGGAUUGUUAAGUCAGUUGUGAAAGUUUGCGGCUCAACCGUAAAAUUGCAGUUGAAACUGGCAGUCUUGAGUACAGUAGAGGUGGGCGGAAUUCGUGGUGUAGCGGUGAAAUGCUUAGAUAUCACGAAGAACUCCGAUUGCGAAGGCAGCUCACUGGACUGCAACUGACACUGAGGCUCGAAAGUGUGGGUAUCAAACAGGAUUAGAUACCCCAGUAGUC
Molecule: ribosomal RNA, 460 nt
Filed under: uncultured bacterium
Lineage: Bacteria
Description: partial 16S ribosomal RNA
Rfam family: Bacterial small subunit ribosomal RNA
Source: RNAcentral